Molecule: ribosomal RNA, 468 nt
Filed under: uncultured bacterium
Lineage: Bacteria
Description: partial 16S ribosomal RNA
Rfam family: Bacterial small subunit ribosomal RNA
Source: RNAcentral
GACGAACGCUGGCGGCGUGCUUAACACAUGCAAGUCGAACGGAAAGGCCCUGCUUUUGUGGGGUGCUCGAGUGGCGAACGGGUGAGUAACACGUGAGUAACCUGCCCUUGACUUUGGGAUAACUUCAGGAAACUGGGGCUAAUACCGGAUAGGAGCUCCUGCUGCAUGGUGGGGGUUGGAAAGUUUCGGCGGUUGGGGAUGGACUCGCGGCUUAUCAGCCUGUUGGUGGGGUAGUGGCUUACCAAGGCUUUGACGGGUAGCCGGCCUGAGAGGGUGACCGGCCACAUUGCGACUGAGAUACGGCCCAGACGGCUACGGGAGGCAGCAGUGGGGAAUAUUGCACAGUGGGCGGAAGCGUGAUGCAGCAACGCCGCGUGCGGGAUGACGGCCUUCGGGUUGUAAACCGCUUUGGCCUGUGACGAAGCGUGAGUGACGGUAAUGAGUAAAGAAGCACCGGCUAACUACGUG